Molecule: ribosomal RNA, 253 nt
Filed under: uncultured bacterium
Lineage: Bacteria
Description: partial 16S ribosomal RNA
Rfam family: Bacterial small subunit ribosomal RNA
Source: RNAcentral
UACGGGGGGGGCAAGCGUUGUUCGGAAUUACUGGGCGUAAAGGGCUUGUAGGUGGCCAACUAAGUCAGACGUGAAAUCCCUCGGCUUAACCGGGGAACUGCGUCUGAUACUGGAUGGCUUGAGUGUGGGAGAGGGAUGCGGAAUUCCAGGUGUAGCGGUGAAAUGCGUAGAUAUCAGGAGGAACACCGGUGGCGAAGGCGGAUCUCUGGGCCUUACCUGACGCUCAGGUGCGAAAGCUAGGGGAGCGAACAGG